CUAUGGUACUACAAAAGUUAUCUGGAUGCAGGCGAGAUCGGUUUAGGUCCUGCGGCAAUGCCGCUUGUGCCCCUCAACGACUGCCCCCGAAAUGCUUACUAUAUAGAUGGCGUUUUUGCCUUGCCGGAUGGAAAAGCCAUUGUCCAACCUAACAUGAUAUGCUUGUUUGAACGCUACGCAGGCGAUGUCAGCUGGCGACAUUCUGAGAUUCUUAUCCCCAGUGCUGAUGUAUGUCCCUUACUGUCAUGAUUUUUUAUUUUGCUUUGAAUUAGACGUUCACCGGAUGGUUUGGACCGGAGGAAGAAGGACGUCGAAUCCUAAAAGUCCAAUGUUUCACGUCACAAGACACUCCUAAUUAUUUCAUGAGACCCAUUGAAGGUCUUUAUGCAACGGUCGAUAUGGACAAACUAGAGGUUAUCAAGAUCGUCGAUAAAGGCAUGGUUCCUAUUCCCAAAGCUGCCGGUACAGAAUACCGGUAUAAUGUUCAGAAUAAGCCGGUACAUAUGGAUCGAAUCAACCCCAUUUCGAUUGAGCAGCCGGAGGGUCCUAGUUUCCUGGUCGAAGAUGGACAUUUGGUUAAGUGGGCUAAUUGGGUUUUUCAUGUUAAAGCUGACCACCGAGCCGGUAUAAUCAUCUCUCAGGCCACAGUUCGUGACUCCGAGACAGGUAUAUAACACCUUAACUCGAAGUCUUGAAUAUUCACUUGUUUAAAAAUGAUUUUAAAAUAUAUUUUUGAUGUUUUCUACACUUUUUAGUUUAAAUAACAAACUGUUUAAGAAAAAUAAAAUGUAUCUAUUGAAUUAGUACUAGUUUAAGAAGAUGAGAAAUAGGUAUUCACAAAAAUGAUGUAUAUAAUCAAAUUUUAAUAUGUUUUCUUAAUAUUUUUUAAAGCACAAAAUAUAUUUUCCAAACACAUAAAGUAUUAUAUACAUAACAAUUGUGAUGGUUAAAAGAGAAGCCAAAUUCUUGAAUCUUGAAUUCUUGAUGUUUACUAAUUAAUGUGGAGAGAGCAGGUGAACCAAGAAGUGUGAUGUACAAAGGAUUUCCAUCAGAGUUGUUCGUACCAUACAUGGACCCUGGAGAACUAUGGUACUACAAAAGUUAUCUGGAUGCAGGCGAGAUCGGUUUAGGUCCUGCGGCAAUGCCGCUUGUGCCCCUCAACGACUGCCCCCGAAAUGCUUACUAUAUAGAUGGCGUUUUUGCCUUGCCGGAUGGAAAAGCCAUUGUCCAACCUAACAUGAUAUGCUUGUUUGAACGCUACGCAGGCGAUGUCAGCUGGCGACAUUCUGAGAUUCUUAUCCCCAAUGCUGAUGUAUGUCCCUUCACUACAAGAAAACAGGUGAAAUCCGACGGCCAAUUUCGUCAGAACUUCGUUGGAGUUCUGUCGGAAUCCGAACGGUCAAAAAUGUCCGUCGGAAUAUAUCCGUUCGGAGCUCAUAACAGUCAAAAUAUCCGUCGGAUAUUUCCGACAAUCAGAAAUUUCUGACGAAAAACCGACGAACAAGAUAUUAUAUGUUUUAUCUCGUCGAUGGAAACCGACGAAACUAUCGUCCGUCGGAUUGUCCAUCGGAAUGUAGCAUGUUUUCUUGUAGUGCUUACUGUCCUGAUUUUUUAUUUUACUUUGAAUAAGAAUCGAUUCCUGAUUUGUCGACGUCUUAACAGA
Molecule: long non-coding RNA, 1663 nt
Filed under: Brassica napus (rape)
Lineage: Eukaryota; Viridiplantae; Streptophyta; Magnoliopsida; Brassicales; Brassicaceae
Description: long non-coding RNA (BNAP_LNC007603)
Source: RNAcentral